UACUCCGUGGCGCAAUGGUAGCGAUUCUGACUCCAUAUCAGAAGGUUGCGUGUUCAAACCACGUCGGGGUCA
This 72-nucleotide transfer RNA is filed under the name Nematostella vectensis (starlet sea anemone). It matches the Rfam family "tRNA". Rfam says of the family: Transfer RNA (tRNA) molecules are approximately 80 nucleotides in length. Their secondary structure includes four short double-helical elements and three loops (D, anti-codon, and T loops). Further hydrogen bonds mediate the characteristic L-shaped molecular structure. tRNAs have two regions of fundamental functional importance: the anti-codon, which is responsible for specific mRNA codon recognition, and the 3' end, to which the tRNAs corresponding amino acid is attached (by aminoacyl-tRNA synthetases). tRNAs cope with the degeneracy of the genetic code in two manners: having more than one tRNA (with a specific anti-codon) for a particular amino acid; and 'wobble' base-pairing, i.e. permitting non-standard base-pairing at the 3rd anti-codon position. The record is from Rfam by way of RNAcentral. Lineage: Eukaryota; Metazoa; Cnidaria; Anthozoa; Actiniaria; Edwardsiidae.